UACGUAGGGUGCAAGCGUUGUCCGGAAUUAUUGGGCGUAAAGAGCUCGUAGGCGGCUUGUCGCGUCGACUGUGAAAGCCCGCGGCUCAACCGUGUGGUCUGCAGUCGAUACGGGCAGGCUAGAGUUCGGUAGGGGAGACUGGAAUUCCUGGUGUAGCGGUGAAAUGCGCAGAUAUCAGGAGGAACACCGGUGGCGAAGGCGGUUCUCUGGGCCUGUACUGACGCUGAGGAGCGAAAGCGUGGGGAGCGAACAGG
This 254-nucleotide ribosomal RNA is filed under the name uncultured bacterium. RNAcentral's name for it is "partial 16S ribosomal RNA". It matches the Rfam family "Bacterial small subunit ribosomal RNA", at positions 524 to 776 of the family's 1533-position model. The record is from RNAcentral.